GUGUGUUGGCUGAUUCUCUAGGGGUUAAGGGUGAGGUGAGGAAGGAGAGGAGGCUGUUCCUGGUUGGUCAGACGAGGCUUCACUUGGACUCAGUGGAGGGCCUGGGACACUACAUGGAGCUAGAGGUGGUGUUGAGGGAGGACCAGAGGCCUGAGGAGGGGGAGGCGAUUGCUCGCAGCCUGAUGAAGGAGCUCGGUGUCGGGGAUGACAGCCUGGUGACUGGUGCCUACAUGGACCUCUUGCUGGAAUGCCAGGGAUGUUAGCAACACACAGUAUAUGAACCCUCCCAUGCAGGACUACAACAUUCCCAUCAUGUGAAAGCAACUGGAAAACGCUUUUGGUAAUAAAAAAUAAAAUAGCAAA
This is a long non-coding RNA of Oncorhynchus keta (chum salmon), 363 nucleotides long. RefSeq lists it as uncharacterized. The record is from RefSeq and is a predicted model, not a curated record. The transcript has 2 exons. Lineage: Eukaryota; Metazoa; Chordata; Actinopteri; Salmoniformes; Salmonidae.